ACGGAAGGCAGCAGUGGGGAAUAUUGGACAAUGGGGGAAACCCUGAUCCAGCGACGCCGCGUGAGUGAAGAAGUAUUUCGGUAUGUAAAGCUCUAUCAGCAAGGAAGAAAAUGACGGUACUUGACUAAGAAGCUCCGGCUAAAUACGUGCCAGCAGCCGCGGUAAUACGUAUGGAGCAAGCGUUAUCCGGAUUUACUGGGUGUAAAGGGAGCGUAGACGGCAAAGCAAGUCCGAAGUGAAAUCCCGGGGCUCAACCCCGGAACUGCUUUGGAAACUGUUUAGCUAGAGUGCAGGAGAGGUAAGCGGAAUUCCUAGUGUAGCGGUGAAAUGCGUAGAUAUUAGGAGGAACACCAGUGGCGAAGGCGGCUUACUGGACUGUAACUGACGUUGAGGCUCGAAAGCGUGGGGAGCAAAUAGGAUUAGAUACCCUGGUA
Molecule: ribosomal RNA, 434 nt
Filed under: uncultured Lachnospiraceae bacterium
Lineage: Bacteria; Bacillati; Bacillota; Clostridia; Lachnospirales; Lachnospiraceae
Description: partial 16S ribosomal RNA
Rfam family: Bacterial small subunit ribosomal RNA
Source: RNAcentral